GUUCCUGAGUACAGAAACUUCUGUCCUUAUGGAGUUGGGGUGCACCUCCCUCCUCACUUGUGGAUGAGUUCUUGCUUGCCAAAGUGGAAGCAAGAGUGAAAGUUCCAAUCCUCUAAAGUCAUAGUUGUUACCUUGGUAACCAGCCCCCAUCCUGAGGUAAUCUAGGCGCUCCCAGCUACCAGUCAUCUCAUUAGGACACAAAAAAUACUUUUUUUUUUCUGACAUAGGAUACUGUGUCACCCAAGCUGGAGCACAAUGGCAUGAUCAUGGCUCACUGCAGCCUCUACCUCCUACACUCAAGUGAUCCUCCUGCCUCAGCCUCCUGAGUAGCUGGGACUUCAAGCAAGCAGCCACCACAUCUGGCUAACAAAAGAUACUCUUAUCUCUUGGGAAUUCUAAGGAUUUUGGAUGCUUAAGUGAGGAAAUGGGGAAUAAGACCAAAUAUGCGUUUCGUUAUAAAACACAAGGAAACAUGGGGAAGUGAUAGAAGUCUGAAAUCAAACUAGCUGGGAAACUACAUUUAUCGUUGGACUGAGUAUAUGGUUGGUUUGACUUGAUUCCAAUUGUUUUUCCAUUCCAACCUUCCUUCGCCUUUUUGUCCUUGAUCUAAUUGUCCUUUGUUGAAUAAAUGAAUAAUAUGGAUGAGUGAUAUAAGUGCCCUUGAAAAAAAAAAUCACCUGAAGAACAUUACACUGUGGUUCCAUUGAAAUUAAGCCUUCUGGCCCCCGGGUAAAUUGCUCUGUGAUUCUUAACCUAAAUGGCAAUUAAACAAUCCUCUGGAUCCUGGAUCUUACUGAAUAUUCACUACUAAAGAGAUGACAAAAUUUCACUGAAGUGGGGAAUUAAAUGAAGACAAGGAUGCCAUGUUGAAUGGUCCGUGGUGGAUCAGCUAUGUCUGUCUUUCAUGAUCUCUUUACUCUAGGGCCAGGCUGACUGAGCAGCUCCUAUCUGGGACAUUAUUGAUGCCUGGGUAAAGAGAUUAUCGUGAAGCAAAUACUGGCUGUUAAGGCUUCGGCUUGAAGUCAUGGGCUAAUCCUGACUGACAUCAAAGGAGUGGAACGUAGAAUCUUCUCUGGAGGAAUGGGUUCCCUGCAGGGAGGGGCAGCAAGUAUUUUGAAUAAAAGUACAAUCCAACAUCGUAAUGCAUAUAAAAGCACUUACUGAACAGUAGAACUCCAUGUGAAUGCAAGUUCUUCUUCAUCUGCCCAAAGUCUACCAGCCAAUCAGUGUUGAACCUGAGACUACAACUCCAGGUGGCUCUAAACCCAGCCCAGUGUUUUCUCCUUCUCUGUAGUGAUUCACUGACACCUUUCCUUCCACAUUUUAAUGCUCAAUAAAACAUUAAUUUUAGAAUUACCAAUCAACAUAUUCCCUUUGCCAGAUAUAGGAACAAAUUUUUCUAAGAAUAAACCUCUCUUGCUGUCUCUCUCCUUCCUUUCACUCUCUCUAUAUAUUUGAUAAGAAUUGUUUUAAAGAGUCUGCAGCUUUCAGUUUGAUUGAUAGUUUUAUACUACACGCUAGAAAGCCUUGUCACGUGUGUCUUAAAUCAGCCAUUUCAACCUUAGGUGUUUUAUUUGUGGAGAGAAGACUUCCAUCAUGAACAUUUUUUUUUUUCUGACAGAAUAUGUCCUUAAAAAUAUGUAAAUUCCAUUACUAGCUUUAUUGCUCUCCCAUAAUUUCCUUAUUUGCCUCUGAAUUAUGCUUAGAAAGGCAAGAUGGAUAAUAUAAGCUUUCCAAUGUUUUAUGAAAGAUUUAGAUGCAGACUCUUUGUAAACCACUACUCCCAAGCUCUUCUCUUUCCACUAAUACAGGCAUUAGAGCCCAGGAAACUCACUUGCUGUAGAAGCUGAUCUGCAGAAUCAAUAGGAUUGCUUGCCAGACUAAAAGAGCUAUGAUGUUUUGAUCCCCACAGCUUUUUUUUUUUUUGAUAGCCUUUUAUGUAGCAGCACCAGUUGCUUCCAGACUUAAUAUACUUUUUCCAGUGGGGUUUUGAUACAAGCCUCCACCAUGCUCUUGUUUUAGUUUUUGCAGAAUUGCAGGAGUAGAGUUGACAUGUUCUUUCAGGGGGAUGGAAAAUUGAGUUCUGUCUUUUAGCUAUGGAUUGUUCAAUAGGUUGCAAUACAGUUGUUAUACCACUAGCCCA
Long non-coding RNA from Callithrix jacchus (white-tufted-ear marmoset), 2143 nucleotides. RefSeq lists it as uncharacterized. Lineage: Eukaryota; Metazoa; Chordata; Mammalia; Primates; Cebidae. The record is from RefSeq and is a predicted model, not a curated record.